Molecule: long non-coding RNA, 385 nt
Filed under: Gossypium raimondii (Peruvian cotton)
Lineage: Eukaryota; Viridiplantae; Streptophyta; Magnoliopsida; Malvales; Malvaceae
Description: long non-coding RNA (GRAI_LNC007878)
Source: RNAcentral
AAAAAGAAGAAAAGGAGGAACCUAAAACUGAAGCGAUGGAAGAAGAAACCAAUGCAAAAGAAGAUGUUAGGAAAGUUGCGGACGAUGAAAAUAAAGAUGAGGAGGAGGAGAAGGUGGAUGAGUUGAAAGAAGAAGAUGAAGAAGAGCAGGAAGAGAAGGCUGAAGAAGAGCCGAAAGAAGAAGAAGAUGAAGAGGAGCAUGAAGAAAAGGAUGGAGAUGAUGAAGAGAAGGAUGGGGAUGAUGAAGAGGAACAAGAAGAGAAGGCUGAAGAAAGUGAGGAGGAAAAAGGUUCAAAGAAGCGUGGGAAAGGUAAAAAAACUGAGGAGAAAGUUAAGGGGAAGACAAAGAAGUUGGAGGAGAAGAAGGAGCCAGAGCAAAGAACUCC